This 30-nucleotide non-coding RNA is filed under the name Rattus norvegicus (Norway rat). The record is from RNAcentral. Lineage: Eukaryota; Metazoa; Chordata; Mammalia; Rodentia; Muridae.
UAAUUGUAAUAGGAUGGUGUAAUGUACAAG